Gadus macrocephalus (Pacific cod) is the source of this 759-nucleotide long non-coding RNA. RefSeq lists it as uncharacterized. The transcript has 2 exons. Lineage: Eukaryota; Metazoa; Chordata; Actinopteri; Gadiformes; Gadidae. The record is from RefSeq and is a predicted model, not a curated record.
UGGUGUAGUCUAUGUGAUACGCAGGUAUACGCCGUAUACCCACUAGGAACGCACCAGGAUUUGCGUAUACCCACUUAAAAUGUGCACGGAUACGUAUCAAUCGUCUUCUGACAGAUCUUUCACUUCUGUGUUUAUUUUUCGGAAAUAUCGGUUGGGUAUAACUGCAAUAAAAUACUUUAAGCAGGGGAAGUUAUCUCCUACAUUCACCAUUCAUAAAAUUCCCGCUCGCGCUCUGCCCUUUCUCUGUUACGAAGCGCGAAGCUGCCCCUGCAUCUCUGCACGUUAGUUGGCGGGCCGAGCCCCUCCUUCUCGCGUGUGUGUGCGUGCGUGCGUGUGCGUGUGUGUGUGUGUCCAGUCCUCCCAUAUUAAUGUGUAAACCACAUAAUAAGUAGUCAACAGAAGACAAUGUUUUAAUCCCACUUUAUAUCUCCUUGUUACUUUUAGAUGAGAACCCCUGGCCAGCCUUUCAGACUGGGUGUCAGGCUAGGGAAUUUAAAAACAGGCAUCCUUUUGGUAUACACAAUUGAAAUUCAUAAUGUUAAUCACUAUGUAAAUGAGAGUAUAGCUAAUUCAUGGUCAUUUUUAAGGUGCAGUAAUUUCACACUUUUACACAAUUCAAUUACUGUAUGGUAUGUUAGAUAACAACAGUAAGAGCUCAAAUUAGAGCAAUUGAAAGAGUGAAACAUUAGUCUCCUGUCAUCUCCUUCUCAUGCACUGGUUAGCCAUGGAUGUAAACAGUUCAUUAAAUUAUUUUGAGUA